Molecule: ribosomal RNA, 451 nt
Filed under: uncultured bacterium
Lineage: Bacteria
Description: partial 16S ribosomal RNA
Rfam family: Bacterial small subunit ribosomal RNA
Source: RNAcentral
GUGGGGAAUAUUGGACAAUGGGGGGAACCCUGAUCCAGCCAUGCCGCGUGUGUGAAGAAGGCCUUUUGGUUGUAAAGCACUUUAAGCGAGGAGGAGGCUACCGAGAUUAAUACUCUUGGAUAGUGGACGUUACUCGCAGAAUAAGCACCGGCUAACUCUGUGCCAGCAGCCGCGGUAAUACAGAGGGUGCAAGCGUUAAUCGGAUUUACUGGGCGUAAAGCGCGCGUAGGUGGCCAAUUAAGUCAAAUGUGAAAUCCCCGAGCUUAACUUGGGAAUUGCAUUCGAUACUGGUUGGCUAGAGUAUGGGAGAGGAUGGUAGAAUUCCAGGUGUAGCGAUGAAAUGCGUAGAGAUCUGGAGGAAUACCGAUGGCGAAGGCAGCCAUCUGGCCUAAUACUGACACUGAGGUGCGAAAGCAUGGGGAGCAAACAGGAUUAGAAACCCCAGUAGUCC